Oryza glumipatula is the source of this 204-nucleotide non-coding RNA. The record is from Rfam. Lineage: Eukaryota; Viridiplantae; Streptophyta; Magnoliopsida; Poales; Poaceae.
UACAAGUGUAUUUGUGAUUUUCCGUCUUAAACAUUUGGUCGUCCUUCUUAUUUGAAAAUAAAUAAUUAAUAUUUUUAUUGUUAUUAGAUGAUAAAGCAUAAAUAGUACUUUAUGUAUGUCUAUUUUUUAAAAAAAAUUUUUAUAAAUUCUUCGAAUAAGGUGGACGGUCAACGUUGGAUACGGAAACUCGCAACCACACUUAUA